UAGGACUCUCGGCAAUGGAUAUCUUGGCUCUUGCAUCGAUGAAAGAGCGCAGCGAAAUGCGAUAGCGUGGUGUGAAUUGCAGAAUCCCGUGAACCAUCGAGUUUUUGAACGCAAGUUGCGCCCGAGGCCAAUUGGCUAAGGGCACGUCCGCCUGGGCGUCAAGC
Molecule: ribosomal RNA, 164 nt
Filed under: Pterostylis stricta
Lineage: Eukaryota; Viridiplantae; Streptophyta; Magnoliopsida; Asparagales; Orchidaceae
Description: 5.8S ribosomal RNA
Rfam family: 5.8S ribosomal RNA
About the family: 5.8S ribosomal RNA (5.8S rRNA) is a component of the large subunit of the eukaryotic ribosome. It is transcribed by RNA polymerase I as part of the 45S precursor that also contains 18S and 28S rRNA.
Source: RNAcentral